GGGAAUGUGGCUCAGUUAAUAGAGUGCUUGNCUAGCAUGCAUGAAGNCCUGGGUUCCAUUCCCAGCACCA
This 70-nucleotide transfer RNA is filed under the name Neotoma lepida (desert woodrat). It matches the Rfam family "tRNA". From Rfam's summary of the family: Transfer RNA (tRNA) molecules are approximately 80 nucleotides in length. Their secondary structure includes four short double-helical elements and three loops (D, anti-codon, and T loops). Lineage: Eukaryota; Metazoa; Chordata; Mammalia; Rodentia; Cricetidae. The record is from Rfam by way of RNAcentral.